This 954-nucleotide ribosomal RNA is filed under the name Triticum aestivum (bread wheat). Its description in RNAcentral is "partial small subunit ribosomal RNA". The record is from RNAcentral. Lineage: Eukaryota; Viridiplantae; Streptophyta; Magnoliopsida; Poales; Poaceae.
AUGACGCCGAGCUCGCCGGACACGGUCUCGCCGGUGUCGAGCGUCACGCCGGAUGACGGGUCGACGGCGGCGGCGCGGGCGUUGAGGCGAACGGAGCCCGCGGGGAGGCGGUCCGCGAGCUGCCCGGCGAUGGCGCCGAUGCCGGCCUCCGGCAGGGCAUUGUCACCAAGGGCGAGGCGCUUGAACACGAGCUCGAAGAGGCGGGACGACGUGUCGAGCGCCGGGUCGAAGAAUAUCCCCGCGAGGAACGGCCGCAGGAACCGCUCCACGAUGGACGGCGAGAACCCGAGCUUCUCCAGAUGCGUCGCCGUGGUCGUCUCCGGCGAGGAGACGAUGACGUCGUCCGGGGUGGCGGCCGCGCGGAGCCGGGUGAUGCCGACGAGGAGCUUGUCGGGAAGGGUGCCGACAGGGGAGAAGACGGAGGAGAGGGAGCGGAUGGGGAAGCGGAACGGGUCGGAGAGCAUGUGGAACGGCGACCCGCCCUCGCCGGCGCCGAUAUAUACGAGUGCGCCGGGGAAGAACGGCUGGAGGCGCAGCGCCUGGAAGUCGAGGAGGCGCUGGCACUCCGGGUACGCGGUGAGGAAGAUCUGGAAGCCCCGGUCGAGCAGGUACCCGUCGACCUCGUCGGUGGCGACGCGGCCGCCGACGCGGUCCGAGGCUUCCAGCAGCGUGAACGGCACGGAGAGGGAGGCCAGGUGGGUGGCCGCCGCGAGGCCCGCAAGCCCGCCGCCGACGAUGACGGCCUGCUUGUCGGCCUGGUUCACGUUCACCGAUGUCGCCGCGGCGGAGACGGCGAACCGGAGGGUGGCAUGGCGGCGGGGCGUGGGAGGCGCGGGGACGAGGAGGUGGGCGGCGUGGACGCGCAUGGGGGUUGCGGUUGCGGUUGCGGCGAGUGGCGGGAAGAGACCGGGCAGAAACGGGGAAUCGUGGCGGGGUACGGUUUGGGAGGUGUAG